This 31-nucleotide non-coding RNA is filed under the name Homo sapiens (human). Lineage: Eukaryota; Metazoa; Chordata; Mammalia; Primates; Hominidae. The record is from RNAcentral.
CCUCAGUGACAGAAUCCAAUGGGAUGGGGUA